Molecule: ribosomal RNA, 444 nt
Filed under: uncultured bacterium
Lineage: Bacteria
Description: partial 16S ribosomal RNA
Rfam family: Bacterial small subunit ribosomal RNA
Source: RNAcentral
CCUACGGGGGGCAGCAGUGAGGAAUAUUGGUCAAUGGUCGGGAGACUGAACCAGCCAAGCCGCGUGAGGGAUGAAGGUACAGAGUAUCGUAAACCUCUUUUGUCAGGGACGAAGCAAGUGACGGUACCUGAGGAAUAAGCCACGGCUAACUACGUGCCAGCAGCCGCGGUAAUACGUAGGUGGCAAGCGUUAUCCGGAUUUACUGGGUGUAAAGGGCGUGUAGGCGGGAAAGCAAGUCAGAUGUGAAAACCAUGGGCUCAACCUGUGGCCUGCAUUUGAAACUGUUUUUCUUGAGUACUGGAGAGGCAGACGGAAUUCCUAGUGUAGCGGUGAAAUGCGUAGAUAUUAGGAGGAACACCAGUGGCGAAGGCGGUCUGCUGGACAGCAACUGACGCUGAGGCGCGAAAGCGUGGGGAGCAAACAGGAUUAGAUACCCCAGUAGUC